UUGUGUUUGCAGAGCUGCACCUCCUCACCUCACAGGGCUUGUCUACAGUGCCCAGCCCAGCCCAGCACCCCUCACCCUCCCCGGGGGAGCCAGCAGGAGCUGGUGGUGGUGGCAAACCCAGGGCUCACACCCUGGCACGCUCAUCUCCUCUGCUCUUCAUGCCUUGAGCACAGCCAUGGGGAAAUGGGACUACAGGAGGCAGCAUCAUUCACCUGACCAAUCAACCCUGUUUAGGAAGAUCCAAAGUGCAGAAACUGGAGAAUGUUCCAGAGAACACCUGCUGCAAUGGCUGAGGUCACGAUUUCCAGCCCAGCAAGAAGAUAAAACUGCUGCCAGAGCCCAUGGCCAGACCUGCUUUGUGCAGAACCACACCACCUCAGCCUCUCUGCCAAGAAACUGGGGAAUUUUCCAGUUGCCAUUCUCCUCCUGGGAGGCAGAAAGUGGGGGAGUAAAGCUUACAUACCUUCAUGAAGAUCUGAGAGGCAUCAGGAGGGUUUUCAUGAGACACUGGAUGGAAGCAAAUGCUAUCAGAGUCCAAAUGUCCCAUUAAUUAUACCAGAAUCUCAUUCUGGGCAGAAGGGAAGUCCCAGCAGUCCUGCAACAGCCUUCUCAGACAAUGACUGAAAAAAAUGUUGCAGUUACUCAUUUUGAAAUGAGUUUUUGUAAGGGUUAGAUUUUUCUUGCAUGACAACACAUUGUGGGUACACAAUUAAAAAAUGAAGCCAUGA
Long non-coding RNA from Serinus canaria (Common canary), 728 nucleotides. RefSeq lists it as uncharacterized. Lineage: Eukaryota; Metazoa; Chordata; Aves; Passeriformes; Fringillidae. The transcript is spliced from 2 exons. The record is from RefSeq and is a predicted model, not a curated record.